AUUGAACGCUGGCGGCAGGCUUAACACAUGCAAGUCGAGCGGGGUGAUGGUGCUUGCACUAUCACUUAGCGGCGGACGGGUGAGUAAUGCUUAGGAAUCUGCCUAUUAGUGGGGGACAACAUCUCGAAAGGGAUGCUAAUACCGCAUACGUCCUACGGGAGAAAGCAGGGGAUCACUUGUGACCUUGCACUAAUAGAUGAGCCUAAGUCGGAUUAGCUAGUUGGUGGGGUAAAGGCCUACCAAGGCGACGAUCUGUAGCGGGUCUGAGAGGAUGAUCCGCCACACUGGGACUGAGACACGGCCCAGACUCCUACGGGAGGCAGCAGUGGGGAAUAUUCGACAAUGGGCGAAAGCCUGAUCCAGCCAUGCCGCGUGUGUGAAGAAGGCCUUAUGGUUGUAAAGCACUUUAAGCGAGGAGGAGGCUCUUUUGGUUAAUACCCAAGAUGAGUGGACGUUACUCGCAGAAUAAGCACCGGCUAACUCUGUGCCAGCCGCCGCCGUAA
Molecule: ribosomal RNA, 503 nt
Filed under: uncultured bacterium
Lineage: Bacteria
Description: partial 16S ribosomal RNA
Rfam family: Bacterial small subunit ribosomal RNA
Source: RNAcentral